Molecule: long non-coding RNA, 862 nt
Organism: Haliotis rufescens (red abalone)
Lineage: Eukaryota; Metazoa; Mollusca; Gastropoda; Lepetellida; Haliotidae
Exons: 3
Source: RefSeq, a predicted model, not a curated record
UUACCAACGACCAGGCCAAGUUUAUAAGGAAACGCCAACGAUAGGUGACCAGCCUGGAUGGACACAAGCUUCCACUGGCGACCAGGUCGAACUGAUGUUACAUCCCCAAAUGCUACAUCGAAAUAACGACCAGGCUGCGUUCAUAAGAAGACGACAGCGAUAGGUGACCAGCCUCUGUGGCCACAAGCUGACAUUGGCGACCAUGUUUGCCUGAUGUUACAUCUUCAAAUGCCGUGUAAUUUACAGGCUAUCUUCUCCAACAUCCGCCAAUGACACCGCUUCAUGUGCAGGAAUUGAUACCCUCUGAUACAUUCGAUGUCAUGUAUCUUAUCACUGAAAAAACAAAGCAUUUCUUCAAUCUUCAUAUAACCAGCGCGUUCCAAAGAUGCCAACUUAACAUGUUGGAUUUAUCAUUAUCUGAGCGCAAAACCUUUCCACAACGUCCAGCUUUUGACACAUCGUCCACUUACAAGUCCCUGGUGGUGUCCACGUGUACCUCCUGAUGACUCGGCAGCUCUGAGAUGUUGAGGGGUGUUUCAUGUUUCAUGGCUCACAUAUCUACCUGAAACACCCGCUAACACCUUCUAGUUGAACGAUGACUCGGUUGUAUUCACAAGCAUUUUCUAGGGUCAUUGUAUUUGGUCAACCGUCGUCAGUAAGGGGAUUGAUGUGAAAGAUUUUAAUAAGCGCAUUGAAAUGAGCGUGUUAGAUCUUGUUAUCAAAUUACAAUGGGUUAAAGCGUCACCUCAACCAAAUAUUUCGGUUAACAUUCAUGAGUUAAGGAGGCUAUUCCUAAUCAUGUGCGGUGCUGUGGAAGGAUGUUGGCAGUAUCAGUCUUCAACGAAGAUGGAUGAUUCUUGAA